Molecule: ribosomal RNA, 450 nt
Filed under: uncultured bacterium
Lineage: Bacteria
Description: bacterial SSU rRNA
Rfam family: Bacterial small subunit ribosomal RNA
Source: RNAcentral
UCAAGAAACUUCCACAAUGGGCGAAAGCCUGAUGGAGCGACGUCGCGUGAUGGACGAAGUGCUUCGGCACGUAAACAUCUUUUAUGUGGGACGAAAUUAUUGACGGUACCACAUGAAUAAGGGGCUCCUAACUCUGUGCCAGCAGGAGCGGUAAUACAGAGGCCCCAAGCGUUAUCCGGAAUCACUGGGCGUAAAGGGUGUCGAGGCGGUCAUGUUAGUCGUUCGUAAAAUCCGUGGGCUCAACCUACGGCCGGCGAGCGAAACGGCAUGACUUGAGGUUGGGAGAGGUGCAUGGAACUCACGGUGUAGGGGUGAAAUCCGUUGAUAUCGUGGGGAACACCAAAGGCGAAGGCAGUGCACUGGCCCAAAUCUGACGCUCACACACGAAAGCUAGGGUAGCGAACGGGAUUAGAUACCCUCGUAGUCCCUGAGCGGGCUGGCAAGGCGCAU